ACCUAAUAGAUACCCUGGUAGUCCACGCCCUAAACGAUGCGAACUGGAUGUUGGGUACAUUACGGUACUCAGUGUCGAAAGCUAAACGCGUUAAGUUCGCCGCCUGGGGAGUACGGUCGCAAGACUGAAACUCAAAGGAAUUGACGGGGGCCGGCACAAGCGGUGGAGUAUGUGGUUUAAUUACGAUGCAACGCGAAGAACCUUACCUGGCCUUGACAUCUGUCGAAUCCUGCAGAGAUGCGGGAGUGCCGCAAGGAACGACAAGACAGGUGCUGCAUGGCUGUCGUCAGCUCGUGUCGUGAGAUGUUGGGUUAAAGUUCCCGCAACGAGCGCAACCCUUGUCCCUAGUUGCCAGCACAUCAUGGU
Molecule: ribosomal RNA, 366 nt
Filed under: uncultured bacterium
Lineage: Bacteria
Description: bacterial SSU rRNA
Rfam family: Bacterial small subunit ribosomal RNA
Source: RNAcentral